This is a non-coding RNA of Pelobates cultripes (western spadefoot toad), 213 nucleotides long. Lineage: Eukaryota; Metazoa; Chordata; Amphibia; Anura; Pelobatidae. The record is from the annotation of a GenBank genome assembly.
GGCAACUUUAUGUACAGUUGGAAGGUGUGUUGUUUCCAUUUUCAUCUGUUCGAAACAAUCAUGAGGUGCAUCAGAAUCUUGGGCUGUGGGAGGAGUUUUGGUGCAUAUUUCUGUGUGGAAUCGGGGAUAGCCAGUUGCCCUGCAAUUCAGGGUUCGCUUGGUGACACCCUCUUCAGAAAGCUGGGUCUGGUCAGCAGUGCUCCAUGAUUUGGC